This 422-nucleotide ribosomal RNA is filed under the name uncultured cyanobacterium. RNAcentral's name for it is "bacterial SSU rRNA". It matches the Rfam family "Bacterial small subunit ribosomal RNA", at positions 356 to 795 of the family's 1533-position model. The record is from RNAcentral. Lineage: Bacteria; Bacillati; Cyanobacteriota.
GGGGAAUUUUCCGCAAUGGGCGAAAGCCUGACGGAGCAAUACCGCGUGAGGGAGGAGGCUCUUGGGUUGUAAACCUCUUUUCUCAAGGAAUAAGAAUGAAGGUACUUGAGGAAUAAGCAUCGGCUAACUCCGUGCCAGCAGCCGCGGUAAUACGGAGGAUGCAAGCGUUAUCCGGAAUGAUUGGGCGUAAAGCGUCCGUAGGUGGUUUUGUGUGUCUGCUGUUAAAGCGUGCGGCUUAACCGCAUAAGGGCGGUGGAAACUACAAGACUAGAGUACGUUCGGGGCAGGGGGAAUUCCCAGUGUAGCGGUGAAAUGCGUAGAGAUUGGGAAGAACACCGGUGGCGAAAGCGCCCUGCUAGGCCGUAACUGACACUGAGGGACGAAAGCUAGGGGAGCGAAAGGGAUUAGAUACCCCUGUAGUC